UGGAAUUCGACUAAUUUCGGUUUCACGUGAACUGAAGGCCAUUAUCCAUUUGGACACCAAACGGUAAACUUUGUCUUGGUGAUAAUGCGAAUAGAUUCAAUUCAUAACGAAGCUGAACGUCUACAGAGGCGAAAGAGAUGUAAACAAGCGUUGAUAAGUGAGAAAACCAUCUUCAAAGAUUCUUGAUCAGAUGCCAGAAAUUGCCAGUGCCCAUAACUGAAAAUAUUACCAUCCCGUGUGUCAUUCUUACUACAGCGGUAUACAGCCUAUAACAAAUUCUCCGACAAAUGUAAGCUGGCUUCCAGUUGAUGGUGUGUCUAGACAAGCUUCUCUGACAGACGUCUGCGACAAAGCAACACAAUGGUCAAAGAUAUGUGUAAGGAAUGUGGUGGAGUGUCUCCUGAAAGGUGUUGCACAAGGAAAGAUGGUCCUCAACGCCACCAGUUUUCCUUGCUGCCCGCCCCAAAGGAUCAUCGCGCUGCCCCCGAGGCAACACCACCAGCAAGAAGGAGCGACUUGCCAACCCAGGUUCCGGUUCGGAAUCCCUGGGGACCUGUGCUCCAGAGUCGAAGCAACUUUCUUGAGAUGCAUCUCUGCUAAGAGGAAGUUCUCAGUCUGAACUUCCACUAGACUUGCCAUUACAACAUGAUGUUUCAUUUAUGCAUUAUGUUCAUUGAUAUUGAAAACUGGACCAGCAAACACCUUUAUCCAGAUAUUUUUGAUACAGCCUCUUUGGCAAGAUCUCCUGGAAUUCCUUGGUUUGGUUGCUGAACAUUUUGCAGAUUUUACAGAACACCGUUAGUUGUACACGUGAACUAUUUCAUCUCAGUAGGGCAAGAUAGAGACUACCAAUUAGCAAUUUCAUCAUCAUCAUCAGGAAUUUCAUCAUCAUCAACAUCAGGAAUUUCAUUCAUCAUCAUCAUCAUCAUCAUCAUCUCUUUUUCCAUGUCAUUAUAUGAUUGAACAUUCCAAACAUAGGCUUUUCUAUGAAUAUACAAUUGAAUCACAUUCAUCCCAAUUUUUAGGUCACCUGAGCUUUGCUCAAGUGACCUAUUCCAAUCGCUUUUCGUCCGUCGUCGUCCGUCGUCCGU
Molecule: long non-coding RNA, 1091 nt
Organism: Mizuhopecten yessoensis (Yesso scallop)
Lineage: Eukaryota; Metazoa; Mollusca; Bivalvia; Pectinida; Pectinidae
Exons: 3
Source: RefSeq, a predicted model, not a curated record